UACGGGGGGGGCAAGCGUUGUUCGGAAUUACUGGGCGUAAAGGGCUCGUAGGCGGCCAACUAAGUCGGAUGUGAAAUCCCCAGGCUUAACCUGGGAACUGCAUCCGAUACUGGAUGGCUUGAAUUCGGGAGAGGGAUGCAGAAUUCCAGGUGUAGCGGUGAAAUGCGUAGAGAUCCGGAAGAACACCAGAGGCGAAGGCGGCUCGCUGGGCUUGGUCUGACGCUGAGGCGCGAAAGCGUGGGGAGCGAACAGG
Molecule: ribosomal RNA, 253 nt
Filed under: uncultured bacterium
Lineage: Bacteria
Description: partial 16S ribosomal RNA
Rfam family: Bacterial small subunit ribosomal RNA
Source: RNAcentral